UUUUCGGCAAUGGGGGAAACCCUGACCGAGCAAUGCCGCGUGAAUGAUGAAAUUCUUCGGAAUGUAAAAUUCUGUUGUGAGGGAAGAAAGGUAGUAUCAGGAAAUGGGUAUUACUUGACGGUACCUUACUAGAAAGCCCCGGCUAACUAUGUGCCAGCAGCCGCGGUAAUACAUAGGGGGCGAGCGUUAUCCGGAAUUAUUGGGCGUAAAGCGUGCGUAGGCGGUCGUUUAAGUCUGUCGUGAAAGCCCACAGCUUAACUGUGGAGGGUCGAUGGAAACUGGAUGGCUUGAAUCUAGAAGAGGUAAGUGGAAUUCCAUGUGUAGCGGUAAAAUGCUUAGAUAUAUGGAGGAACACCAGUGGCGAAGGCGGCUUACUGGUCUAGCAUUGACGCUGAGGCACGAAAGCGUAGGUAGCAAACAGGAUUAGAUACCCUGGUAGUCUACGCUGUAAACGAUGAGCACUAAGUGUCGGACGUAAGUUCGGUGCUGUAGUUAACGCAUUAAGUGCUCCGCCUGGGGAGUACGGUCGCAAGACUGAAACUCAAAGGAAUUGACGGGGACUCGCACAAGCGGUGGAGCAUGUGGUUUAAUUCGACGCAACGCGAAAAACCUUACCAGGCCUUGACAUCCCUAUGACCGCUCUAGAGAUAGAGUUUCCUCUUCGGAGGUAUAGGUGACAGGUGGUGCAUGGUUGUCGUCAGCUCGUGUCGUGAGAUGUUGGGUUAAGUCCCGCAACGAGCGCAACCCUUAUCAUUAGUUGCUAACAUUAAGUUGAGCACUCUAAUGAGACUGCCAGCGACAAGUUGGAGGAAGGUGGGGAUGACGUCAAAUCAUCAUGCCCCUUAUGGCCUGGGCUACACACGUGCUACAAUGGCCGGUACAAAGAGCAGCGAAAUUGUGAAAUGGAGCAAAUCUCAAAAAGCCGGUCUCAGUUCGGAUUGUAGUCUGCAACUCGACUACAUGAAGUUGGAAUCGCUAGUAAUCGUGGAUCAGCAUGCCACGGUGAAUACGUUCUCGAGUCUUGUACACACCGCCCGUCACACCAUGAGAGUUUGUAAUACCCGAAGCCGGUGGCUUAACCGCAAGGAGAGAGCCGUCUAAGGUAGGACAGAUGAUUGGGGUGAAGUCGUAACAAGGUAUCCCUACGAGAACGUGGGGAUG
Molecule: ribosomal RNA, 1161 nt
Filed under: human gut metagenome
Description: bacterial SSU rRNA
Rfam family: Bacterial small subunit ribosomal RNA
Source: RNAcentral